CCUAGGGUGGCUGCAGUGAGGAAUAUUGCACAAUGGGGGGAACCCUGAUGCAGCAACGCCGCGUGGAGGAUGACGCAUUUCGGUGUGUAAACUCCUUUUAUAUGUCAAGAAAAUGACGGUAGCAUAUGAAUAAGCACCGGCUAACUCCGUGCCAGCAGCCGCGGUAAUACGGAGGGUGCAAGCGUUACUCGGAAUCACUGGGCGUAAAGGACGCGUAGGCGGGUUGGAAAGUCAGGUGUGAAAUCCUACAGCUUAACUGUAGAACUGCACUUGAAACUUCUAAUCUAGAGUAUGGGAGGGGGAGAUGGAAUUAGUGGUGUAGGGGUAAAAUCCGUAGAUAUCACUAGGAAUACCUAAAGCGAAGGCGAUCUCCUGGAACAUUACUGACGCUAAGGCGUGAAAGCGUGGGGAGCAAACAGGAUUAGAUACCCGCGUAGUC
RNAcentral lists this ribosomal RNA (439 nucleotides) under uncultured bacterium. RNAcentral's name for it is "partial 16S ribosomal RNA". It matches the Rfam family "Bacterial small subunit ribosomal RNA", at positions 338 to 795 of the family's 1533-position model. The record is from RNAcentral.